This is a small nucleolar RNA of Phyllostomus discolor (pale spear-nosed bat), 130 nucleotides long. RefSeq annotates it as small nucleolar RNA SNORA51. Lineage: Eukaryota; Metazoa; Chordata; Mammalia; Chiroptera; Phyllostomidae. The record is from RefSeq and is a predicted model, not a curated record. The transcript has a single exon.
GGCCUCCUGGUGCUUAACCACAGGCAGUGUGCUGACACCGACUGUACAGAGAGAGGAAGCAGAAUAACCCCCUCUAUACACCUCAGCCCAGGCCCCUUGCCUGGUCUGCAUUGUGACUGGGGGGACAUGG